Molecule: ribosomal RNA, 491 nt
Filed under: uncultured bacterium
Lineage: Bacteria
Description: partial 16S ribosomal RNA
Rfam family: Bacterial small subunit ribosomal RNA
Source: RNAcentral
AGUGAACGCUGGCGGUAGGCCUAACACAUGCAAGUCGAACGGCAGCACAGUAAGAGCUUGCUCUUACGGGUGGCGAGUGGCGGACGGGUGAGGAAUACAUCGGAAUCUACUUUUUCGUGGGGGAUAACGUAGAGAAACUUACGCUAAUACCGCAUACGACCUACGGGUGAAAGCAGGGGAUCUUCGGACCUUGCGCGAUUGAAUGAGCCGAUGUCGGAUUAGCUAGUUGGCGGGGUAAAGGCCCACCAAGGCGACGAUCCGUAGCUGGUCUGAGAGGAUGAUCAGCCACACUGGAACUGAGACACGGUCCAGACUCCUACGGGAGGCAGCAGUGGGGAAUAUUGGACAAUGGGCGCAAGCCUGAUCCAGCCAUACCGCGUGGGUGAAGAAGGCCUUCGGGUUGUAAAGCCCUUUUGUUGGGAAAGAAAAGCAGCAGGUUAAUACCCCGCUGUUCUGACGGUACCCAAAGAAUAAGCACCGGCGAACUUCGU